RNAcentral lists this ribosomal RNA (253 nucleotides) under uncultured bacterium. Its description in RNAcentral is "partial 16S ribosomal RNA". It matches the Rfam family "Bacterial small subunit ribosomal RNA", at positions 524 to 776 of the family's 1533-position model. The record is from RNAcentral.
UACGAAGGGUGCAAGCGUUGUUCGGAUUUAUUGGGCGUAAAGCGCGCGCAGGCGGAUCGGCAAGUCAGAUGUGAAAUCUCGGAGCUCAACUCCGAAACUGCGUCUGAAACUACCAGUCUAGAAUGUCAGAGGGGGUAGGGGAAUUUCACGUGUAGGGGUAAAAUCCGUAGAGAUGUGAAGGAACACCGGUGGCGAAGGCGCCUACCUGGAUGACCAUUGACGCUGAGGCGCGAAAGCGUGGGGAGCAAACAGG